GACAGAGGUGCCAAGCGUUAGGCGGAGUCACUGGGCUUAAAGCGUGUGUAGGCGGGUGCCUAAGUACCUUGUGAAAUCCCACGGCUCAACCGUGGAACUGCUGGGUAUACUGGGUGCCUUGGGUCAUCUAGGGGCUGCCGGAACAAAUGGUGGAGCGGUGAAAUGCGUAGAGAUCAUUUGGAACGCCAACGGCGAAAGCAGGCAGCUGGGGAUGCACCGACGCUGAGACACGAAAGCCAGGGGAGCGAACGGG
RNAcentral lists this ribosomal RNA (253 nucleotides) under uncultured bacterium. RNAcentral describes it as "partial 16S ribosomal RNA". It matches the Rfam family "Bacterial small subunit ribosomal RNA", at positions 524 to 776 of the family's 1533-position model. The record is from RNAcentral.